GAUGAACGCUAGCUACAGGCUUAACACAUGCAAGUCGAGGGGCAUCAUUAUCGAAGCUUGCUUUGAUAGAUGGCGACCGGCGCACGGGUGAGUAACGCGUAUCCAACCUUCCCCUUAGUAGGGCACAGCCCGGCGAAAGUCGGAUUAAUUCCCUAUGUUGUCCGAUGCAGGCAUCUAAGUUGGACGAAAGAUUCAUCGCCGAGGGAUGGGGAUGCGUAGGAUUAGGUAGUCGGCGGGGUAACGGCCCACCGAGCCAUCGAUCCUUAGGGGUUCUGAGAGGAAGGUCCCCCACACUGGAACUGAGACACGGUCCAGACUCC
RNAcentral lists this ribosomal RNA (320 nucleotides) under uncultured Prevotella sp. Its description in RNAcentral is "bacterial SSU rRNA". It matches the Rfam family "Bacterial small subunit ribosomal RNA", at positions 28 to 339 of the family's 1533-position model. The record is from RNAcentral. Lineage: Bacteria; Pseudomonadati; Bacteroidota; Bacteroidia; Bacteroidales; Prevotellaceae.